This is a long non-coding RNA of Alligator mississippiensis (American alligator), 2738 nucleotides long. RefSeq lists it as uncharacterized. Lineage: Eukaryota; Metazoa; Chordata; Crocodylia; Alligatoridae. The record is from RefSeq and is a predicted model, not a curated record. The transcript has 2 exons.
GGCAAAGGCGCUGCAGCGCACCUUUUCAAAUGCGCAUGCGUACUCGUGACUGCUCGCUAGCUCUUCGCCUGAGUGGGAGCGUGCCUUUUACAGCGCGUGCGCACUGGGUCUCAAGAAGCGCUAGUUUCAUGCCGUGACCGCUUUCCCAGGUACCGCCGCUGUGACCUCGGUAGCUGCAGCUGCGGCCCCGGAAAAAGAUGGGAGGGAGUGUCCCUGUCCUUUCCUACGAGUCUUUCCCCCAGACAGAACUGUAGCGCUCAUGCCCAGUCCACAUGCACAUUGAGAUCGGCGCCUUGAGAAUUUCAGCGCACGUCAUGCCGUCACUGCCUCUGUAACCAUGGGAACGCAUGAGUCUCACGACGCAUGUGCCAAUCCAGGAUAUCGGCAAUCGACAUCUUUUGCUUGCGACCGGGCCGCAUGCGCUCCUUGCAGUACCAUCGAUGAAUUCAGAGUUCAGCCGGAUCAAGCUGUCAUUCUACGCGCAUGCGUACUUGCUUUCCCACAUGACGCGAAACCCUAUGCACCGACUCUUCCGUAGUGCGCAUGCGUAUUCAUGGCCGCUCAUCGAUGUUUUCGUCACACGACUGGGAGCCUAGCUCGUGAAGCUCAUUUCUUGCUGUUCUUGACGUCAGGGCCCAACGCUGGUUUCACGGCCCGCGUGGGUGUGGUCCCCAGCUGGGAGAGACGUAGGGUGGGGUACACCGCCAGGAGUAUUGAUCCUAGUGGGAAUUGUAGGGCUCAUUUGCAGUCCGCAUGCAUACUUAGAGUCGGGCCCUGACGGUUUCGGCGCUAGUCAUGCCAUCACUGUCCCUGUAACUAUGGGUACCCGUCCAUAACUCCUGCUCUGGCACAGCCUCCCGAUUCUCAGGACGCACGCGCCAAUUCGGAACAUCGGCCAUCGAUAGCUCUUGCCUGCUCCCAUUGAGCAUGCACCAGUUUGCUUGACAUCGAUACACUAGGCAUUCAGCUGAUCCGCGUAUAACAAGUCUUGCGCACGCGUAGUUGCUUUGCCCACUGACGGGAACCGCGAGGGCCCACCUUUUCCCAAGUGCGCCUGCGUAUUCAUGGCUGUUCAUCGAUAUUUUCGUCGUGCGACUGUGAGGCCGCCCCGUGCUGCGCAUGCGCGCUGGGCCUACCCCAGUUAUUCCUAAACGCCACUGCCGGUUUAGCAUACGGUAGUGCCGUGCCCCACUUGGCUGCAGCUGCGGGACCGCAGUGAGAGGGGAGGGGGUGUCCCUGCCUCUCGCUUCCCCUGAGUAUUGGCUUGGCUGGGAGGAGCGGCGGGAACUGUAGUACUCAUUUCCAGUGAGCUUUGAGAAACUAGUGCCUCGAUUAGUUUCGGCGAUCGUCCUGUUGUCAGUGCCUGUAUAACCAUGGAAAUCCAUUAAUAAUUUCAAAGCCAGGCAACGGUUCCUCAUUCCCACAACGCAUGCGCAAACGGUUUCACGAAUCCUACCAAGGCAUGCGUGCUUGCGUUGCCCAUUGAUGGGCAGGCGUGAUGCGCCACAUCCCGAAUCGCGCAUGCGUGCUUUUGACGUCUCCGUGCUACGCAUGCGCACUCUCCCCCGGCGAUGUUGGAGCGGCGAACACGUGCCCCGCAGAGCCGCGCUUCGCUGACGGGGGAGGGGCAUCCCUGCCGCCCUCCCAGCUAUUGCCCUGCCCCCUGGGGCGGGGGUUGCAGCCUGUGCCGGAUGCGGCCAGUGACUGCGCGGGCGGGCCCGGGGCGGCAAUCUCGGCGGGUCGCGCGGGGAGCUUGGACCCUUUCCGGGCAGUGCGGGCUCCUCCUCGUGCACCCGUCCUUGGAGCCAGCGUGUCAGCGAGGAGCCGCAGCGUGACAGAAGUGGGAAUUGGGGCAGAAGCACCCCCCCCCAGGAGCAGUCGGGUUUGCAAGGGGCACUGGGCACUCAGGCAGGUGUGCAGGGCUUGUGCCGGUCCCUUGGAAACGGGUAAGGCACCACGAGCAACAGGUACGCUCAGCAGACAGAACGCAUCAGCAGUUGCCUAGGCUUCUGCCUGGACGCACAUCAUUCCCAUGCCCUGCUCCAACCAUAAUGCCUCCAGUGACUGCAGCUCUUUCCUGUAACUCAGGGGUAGGCUGCGCUGCCCUGAGGUGCAUACGCAGUCACUGCUGUCAUAACCCAAGUGUAUGAUUGUGUGUGUGCUUCAGCACUGCAGAAUUAUUUCCCGCCACAAGGAGCUUUCUUUGCACGGUGCAAUUCUCAGCUGCAGAGAGAAAAACCCCGGUGCAAAGGAGUUCCCGCCAUUCGGAUGCAAAUUUGUGUCCCACUAUUGGCCAGUUCUAAAUUAUUCCCACGUGGCGGCUAGCAAUUGGCUUGCUAGCCGUAUAAGAGGCUUGAGCGGUUUCCGCCCAAGUUGGAGAACUCCGAGGAGAACCCCGCCAAGGAAGACUCCCUAACCAUCUUGUGGAGAACUCUAAGUGCGCUGUGGAGCUUAACAAACCCCGUGUGUGCCUUAGAGGAGGAUACAGGGGCCUGAUCAACCUCUAGCCUCUCCCCGUCGCCGCUUGAUCCCUUGACGUACCCUUCCCUGCGCGCUCAUUCUACGGAGCCUAACAAGCUUUGUGUGUGUGUAUCCAGAGCUCUGCCCGAGUUAUUUCAAGAGGCUCGAGUUUUUCUAUGGGUCUUGUUCGUACGAGUUUUGUAACUGCAACUUAAGCAAAGUUUUCUCCUGCCUGCACCGCGACCAUCUACGGUGUAAGUAAAAUAAUCUUUAAUUAA